CCUACGGGGGGCACCAGUAGGGAAUCUUCGGCAAUGGACGAAAGUCUGACCGAGCAACGCCGCGUGAGUGAAGAAGGUUUUCGGAUCGUAAAACUCUGUUGUUAGAGAAGAACAAGUAGGAGAGUAGCUGCUCUUACCUUGACGGUGUCUAACCAGAAAGCCACGGCUAACUACGUGCCAGCAGCCGCGGUAAUACGUAGGUGGCAAGCGUUGUCCGGAUUUAUUGGGCGUAAAGCGAGCGCAGGCGGUCUUUUAAGUCUGAUGUGAAAGCCCUCGGCUCAACCGAGGAAGGUCAUUGGAAACUGGAGGACUUGAGUGCAGAAGAGGAGAGUGGAAUUCCAUGUGUAGCGGUGAAAUGCGUAGAUAUAUGGAGGAACACCAGUGGCGAAGGCGGCCCCCUGGACAAAGACUGACGCUCAGGUGCGAAAGCGUGGGGAGCAAACAGGAUUAGAUACCCUCGUAGUC
Molecule: ribosomal RNA, 465 nt
Filed under: uncultured bacterium
Lineage: Bacteria
Description: bacterial SSU rRNA
Rfam family: Bacterial small subunit ribosomal RNA
Source: RNAcentral